This 306-nucleotide ribosomal RNA is filed under the name uncultured bacterium. RNAcentral describes it as "partial 16S ribosomal RNA". It matches the Rfam family "Bacterial small subunit ribosomal RNA", at positions 507 to 807 of the family's 1533-position model. The record is from RNAcentral.
GACAGCAGUCGCCACGGGAAUACGGAGGGUGCAAGCGUUAAUCGGAAUUACUGGGCGUAAAGCGCACGCAGGCGGUCUGUCAAGUCAGAUGUGAAAUCCCCGGGCUUAACCUGGGAACUGCAUUUGAAACUGGCAGGCUAGAGUCUUGUAGAGGGGGGUAGAAUUCCAGGUGUAGCGGUGAAAUGCGUAGAGAUCUGGAGGAAUACCGGUGGCGAAGGCGGCCCCCUGGACAAAGACUGACGCUCAGGUGCGAAAGCGUGGGGAGCAAACAGGAUUAGAUACCCGAGUAGUCCCUGUCUCUUAUAC